This 307-nucleotide ribosomal RNA is filed under the name bacterium enrichment culture clone ALO1_GLFRUDD03FKNXV. RNAcentral describes it as "bacterial SSU rRNA". It matches the Rfam family "Bacterial small subunit ribosomal RNA", at positions 9 to 316 of the family's 1533-position model. The record is from RNAcentral.
GAGUUUGAUCAUGGCCUCAGAUUGAACGCUGGCGGCAGGCCUAACACAUGCAAGUCGAGCGGAUGACGGGAGCUUGCUCCUUGAUUCAGCGGCGGACGGGUGAGUAAUGCCUAGGAACUCUGCCUGGUAUGGGGGACAACGUUUCGAAAGGAACGCUAAUACCGGCAUACGUCCUACGGGAGAAAGCAGGGGACCUUCGGGCCUUGCGCUAUCAGAUGAGCCUAGGUCGGAUUAGCUAGUUGGUGGGUAAUGGCUCACCAAAGGCGACGAUCCGUAACUGGUCUGAGAGGAUGAUCAGUCACACUGG